CCGAGUCCAUGCCCUCACGGGUAGAUCUCCCACCCUUGUGUAUUUUAUUGUUUGUGUUGCUUUGGCAGGCCGUGGGCCGCGCCCACCACCGGCUCCCGGGCUGGUGCGUGCCUGCCAGAGGACCCUUUUAAACUCUGUUUGUCAGUGUCGUCUGAGUAUGAUAACAAUCGUUA
Molecule: unclassified non-coding RNA, 173 nt
Filed under: soil metagenome
Description: partial internal transcribed spacer 1
Source: RNAcentral